UGCGAUCAUACCAGCACUAAUGCACCGGAUCCCAUCAGAACUCCGCAGUUAAUCGUGCUUGGGCGAGAGUAGUACUAGGAUGGGUGACCCCCUGGGAAGUCCUCGUGUUGCA
Molecule: ribosomal RNA, 112 nt
Filed under: Rhododendron griersonianum
Lineage: Eukaryota; Viridiplantae; Streptophyta; Magnoliopsida; Ericales; Ericaceae
Source: RNAcentral